CCUACGGGAGGCAGCAGUAGGGAAUAUUGGGCAAUGGGCGAGAGCCUGACCCAGCCAUGCCGCGUGCCGGAUGAAGGCCUUCUGGGUUGUAAACGGCUUUUCUCAGGGAAGAAAAAGCCCAUGCGUGGGACACUGACGGUACCUGAGGAAUAAGCACCGGCUAACUCCGUGCCAGCAGCCGCGGCAAUACGGAGGGUGCAAGCGUUGUCCGGAUUUAUUGGGUUUAAAGGGUGUGUAGGCGGCCCGUUAAGUCCGGGGUGAAAGCCCACAGCUCAACUGUGGAACUGCCCUGGAUACUGGCGGGCUUGAGUCCAGACGAGGUUGGCGGAAUGGAUGGUGUAGCGGUGAAAUGCAUAGAUACCAUCCAGAACCCCCGAUUGCGUAGGCAGCUGACUAGGCUGGUACUGACGCUGGGGCACGAAAGCGUGGGGAGCGAACAGGAUUAGAUACCCUGGUAGUCCACGCCGUAACGAUAGAUACUCGCUGGUGGCGGAGUAGACAGUCACUGGUCGUUAGUACGAACGGACGGUAAGGUAUCCCACCGUCGGGAGGUACGCGUCGCGAGAGUAGAACGUACGAAUAGAAGUUAGACGGCGUGAGACGUGCCGACGGACGACGACGAGGGAGGUUAGG
Molecule: ribosomal RNA, 633 nt
Filed under: uncultured bacterium
Lineage: Bacteria
Description: bacterial SSU rRNA
Rfam family: Bacterial small subunit ribosomal RNA (bases 1-543)
Source: RNAcentral